ACUCAUAACCUUCUUGGCAUUUGAUUUGAAAUCAGAUUGUUUGUUUUUAUUAACAAUAUGGGUU
This 64-nucleotide transfer RNA is filed under the name Rhinebothrium sp. 1. Its description in RNAcentral is "tRNA-Ser". The record is from RNAcentral. Lineage: Eukaryota; Metazoa; Platyhelminthes; Cestoda; Rhinebothriidea; Rhinebothriidae.